RNAcentral lists this long non-coding RNA (1726 nucleotides) under Nicotiana tabacum (common tobacco). RNAcentral describes it as "long non-coding RNA (NTAB_LNC015188)". The record is from RNAcentral. Lineage: Eukaryota; Viridiplantae; Streptophyta; Magnoliopsida; Solanales; Solanaceae.
GGCCCUUCCCAUCUCAGUACAUCUCACAUACCCUAAAGAACCCCGUUUUCCCACUGCCUCACACCACCAUCCGCCCACCAGAAAUCGCCUCACGACGGUUCCGGUGGCCCAAACAACCCCGAAAACACACCACAGAACCCCCUCACUUCCCUCACUCCAAAUCCCCAAUACCUUUUCCUCGAAUCACCCCCUAACUCUUCGAAUCUUGGAUCGAAGAUCUGACCUUGAACCUUAACUCACCCAAUCAACCCCAAAUUCACACCGUAGAACCGCCACAACUCCCUCUUCACUAAUCCAUGACCCGUUUCCUUCGAAUGGCUCUUGAUCUGCUCGAAUCUUAAAUCUAGGGGUCCAAGUUCUAAGGUCAAACCUAAUUCAAGAACUGUUGAUAAUUGUAGAGCCGGUUUUAUCGUGAAAUGAUAUUAAUUACUUGUUUUAACAAAGAACAAGUGAUUAACGUCAUUUGGCGAUGAAAUCAAAAAGAAGAAAUUUGAUACCAAGUUGUUCAAUUAAACUGGUAAGUUUCUUAACUGUUUUUUUUUCAUUUUUCGUUUUACUUCCCUAGUUGUUGGUCCACUGAUUCAGUCAGUUUAAUUAAAUCUUUUUAUUAAAUUCGUUUGAAUUAGUUUAGUAACAGGGCUAGUUAAGUUGGUGUUGAUUGUUUUAAGGGUCGAACCACAAAUGAGUUCAUCCGUUGGUUAUUCUUGUUUGUUUCAAUUCUGAUCAGUCGUGUAUGGGGUAUGAUUUUCUAUUUCCUUUUAAUGUCAAACCCUUAAAUAAUCAGAAAUUGAUGCUGUUUGGUUUUGGCUGCUUGGUGAUUCUGUUUUGUAGAACUGUUUGUGCCAGCUUACAAAUAAUCAAAAUUUUCAGUAGUUUUAAUCAAAUAAAGAUUUCAGAGUACAAUAUGAGCAUUGUUUAAUAAUUAAACGGGGCAUUCACCCAAUUUAAGAAGAUUCUAAUAGUGGUAGGGUUAGAAGUGCAUUAAUUGAGUAAGUGGAAUCAUUUUAAAAUUUUGAAAGGUCAUUUUAUGAAUCCAAGGGGCAUUUCCAGUUACCUGUAAGAUAGAGCUUCAGAUAUGAAAAAGAGAACAAUUCAGAGAGAGGAGGAGAUAGGAAAUAGAUACAGAGAGAGAGAGCUUAAGAGAUUUAUUAGGAGAAAGAGAUUUAAACUCUAAAAAUUCUGAAAAUUGAGGGCUAAGACAUACACGGAUAUACACACACAGGAAGACAAUUCUGCUGUUCCAUUGAAGUUUUUACUGAUUGAGAAUUGUUUUUAAACUUCUGAAACAAUCUCAACUCACCUGAGGGAGAAAGGUUUUAGAAUUGGUCUUCAAAUUUGGUUUAAAGCUGUACGAGAUAUUGUUUGAUUGGGGCUGUUUGUUGCUGCUGGUGAUAACUGUUGUUAUUCUUGUUGAUCUUACCUCCUUUUGACUUUCAUUUCCAGGUAUGUAAAGACAUUUGAACCUUGAAGUAAAUCUAGACCAAACGCCUAUGAAAUCGAGCUGAAAUUGUUGUUUUGUUCUUUCAAACAGAAGCUAUUGCUUUUCUUGUGAUUUCUGCAUAUUUAUCUCGUCAAUCAUUAUGAAUAGUUGGCCAUAUAGUUUGUAGUCUAUUUCCUUUUCAGAUUUGGGAUUUUCACCAAUGUGUUAUAAAUAAUGUUAGAUUAUUGGAUUAUAGCAUUAUUCUAGAUUGUAAAUUCUGAUUGUGGCUCUCAUCGGAUUGAUUUG